Molecule: non-coding RNA, 75 nt
Organism: Myotis brandtii (Brandt's bat)
Lineage: Eukaryota; Metazoa; Chordata; Mammalia; Chiroptera; Vespertilionidae
Source: Rfam
GGUAGUUCUCAGGUGACGCACCCCAGAAUCUGGCUUCCUCCUCUCCGGUUCCGGGUGCGUCACUUGAGAACCACA